Molecule: long non-coding RNA, 1392 nt
Filed under: Canis lupus familiaris (dog)
Lineage: Eukaryota; Metazoa; Chordata; Mammalia; Carnivora; Canidae
Description: lncRNA (ENSCAFG00040011343.1)
Source: RNAcentral
AUGUGGCCCCUCUUUUCUGCAUCCCCGUCCUGGUCUGAUCUGAGGCCUCCCUUUUGCUUGGGCCCUUCAUUCACUCACUCGCUGUUGGGGAGCCUUGUGCUCACGCUUGCUGGCUCCUGGGGUGGGGAACGACACCACCACACCCAGGACAGGUCCCUCCCCGCCUCCCCGCCUCCCCGCUUCCCCACCAGACUCUUCCACGGGGCCAAGCAUUCCCUGUCUUUCUCCCGGAGGCCGUCUGUGGCUCCCCGUGUCAUCUCAGGCACUGGAAGCCGUCCCCAAGGCCCGCCUCCCUCCCUGCGCUCACCUGGCUCCGUGCCCCUGCGCGCUCUGCGGAGCCGACACAGCCGCGCUCUGUUCCCUGCGCCCGCCCCGGGCUCCCCUCCCCGCGGGCACCGGGCGCCGGCGGCGGGCGGAGGGCGGCGGGCGGAGGGCGGCGGGCGGAGGGCGGAGGCUGCCGUGUGCCCCGCGGGGGACGGCGCGGGUCCGGGCACGUGCGUGGCCGUCGGGGCCGGGGCAGGCCGGGGCAGGCGCUCCCCCCAGGGCGCCCCUUUCCGCGCGGCGGGCGGGCGGGGCGGGGCCGGGGUCGGGCUGCGGGUCCCCCUGUCCGGGCCCCCCCGUCCGCCCCCUGCCCCCCCGGGCUCCGGAGCUGACACUUCCUCCCGGCGCUCGGGGCCCGGCCGCGCCCCCUCCCGCGCCUGCCCCCGCCGGCCCCGCGGCGCUGAUUGGCUGAUUCAAACCCGCCCGCGAGGGCCGCCUGCCUGCGGGUUCGCCGCCGCGUCCGGCUCGGGCUCGGGCUGGGGCUCGGGCUCCGGCUCCCGCUCCGGCUCCGGCUCCGGCUCCGGCUCGGGCCCGCGGGGCGCGGCGCUGACUCAGCCGGAGCCUCUCGGGGCGGCCCCGCUCUUCCCGGGUGUCGGGCGGGAGGCCGCGUGGGCGGGACCCGGGACCCCGACCCCCGCCCCCGCCCCGCCGCGGACCCCCGGCCCCCCGCGGCCCCGACGCCCCGGCCCUGGGCCGCCUCCCGGGCGCCCGCGGGGGGUCAGGCGCCGGCCGGCCCCGUCGCUGCCCCCGCCCGCCCGGCCCCCCGCCGCUGCCCCCGCCCGCCCCGGCCCCCCGCCCGCGCCCCGCGGCCGCCCCCGCCCGCCGACGGCCCUGCGCCCGGCUUACCGCGAGCCCGCGCCGGCCGGUCCCUCCCGCAGUCUGCCCACCCGGCGCCCCGGCGGAGGAGGCGGCCCGGCCGAGUGUCCGCCCGCGGGGCCGGGGUCGGGGUCUCGCGGGGCGGGGCGGGGCGGGGGCGGGGGAGGGGCCGGGCGCUCAGGAAGGGGCCCCCCGGGCGCGGGGCGCCAUCUUUUUCGCGUUUUCCCGCGAAUUAUUGACGUCCCGCUUAUGUAA